RNAcentral lists this microRNA precursor (100 nucleotides) under Caenorhabditis japonica. Its description in RNAcentral is "pre miRNA CJA48955". The stretch from base 15 to 91 matches the Rfam family "mir-55 microRNA precursor family". Lineage: Eukaryota; Metazoa; Nematoda; Chromadorea; Rhabditida; Rhabditidae. The record is from RNAcentral.
CUGCUUCUAGGGUCAGGGGACUCGGCUGAAGCUUAUCGUGUUUAUCUGCAUUUUGUAUAGAUAUACCCGUAUAAGUUUCCGCUGAGCCCCCUUUGACUCU